RNAcentral lists this ribosomal RNA (758 nucleotides) under uncultured Prevotella sp. RNAcentral's name for it is "bacterial SSU rRNA". It matches the Rfam family "Bacterial small subunit ribosomal RNA", at positions 28 to 776 of the family's 1533-position model. Lineage: Bacteria; Pseudomonadati; Bacteroidota; Bacteroidia; Bacteroidales; Prevotellaceae. The record is from RNAcentral.
GAUGAACGCUAGCUACAGGCUUAACACAUGCAAGUCGAGGGGCAGCGGGUCGAAAGCUUGCUUUCGAUGCCGGCGACCGGCGCACGGGUGCGUAACGCGUAUCAAACCUGCCUCAUACUCGGGGAUAGCCUUGCGAAAGUAAGAUUAAUACCCGAUGUUGUUGCUUUCUCGCAUGGGAGAGUAACCAAAGAUUCAUCGGUAUGAGAUGGUGAUGCGUCCGAUUAGGUAGUAGGCGGGGUAACGGCCCACCUAGCCUUCGAUCGGUAGGGGUUCUGAGAGGAAGGUCCCCCACACUGGAACUGAGACACGGUCCAGACUCCUACGGGAGGCAGCAGUGAGGAAUAUUGGUCAAUGGACGAAAGUCUGAACCAGCCAAGUAGCGUGCAGGAUGACGGCCCUCCGGGUUGUAAACUGCUUUUAGUUGGGAAUAAAAAAAGGGACGUGUCCCUUCUUGUAUGUACCUUCAGAAAAAGGACCGGCUAAUUCCGUGCCAGCAGCCGCGGUAAUACGGAAGGUCCAGGCGUUAUCCGGAUUUAUUGGGUUUAAAGGGAGCGUAGGCGGAUUGUUAAGUCAGCGGUUAAAGGGUGUGGCUCAACCAUGCAUUGCCGUUGAAACUGGCGAUCUUGAGUGCAGACAGGGAUGCCGGAAUUCGUGGUGUAGCGGUGAAAUGCUUAGAUAUCACGAAGAACUCCGAUCGCGAAGGCAGGUGUCCGGGCUGCAACUGACGCUGAGGCUCGAAAGUGUGGGUAUCAAACAGG